RNAcentral lists this transfer RNA (72 nucleotides) under Lacticaseibacillus paracasei. Its description in RNAcentral is "Lactobacillus paracasei tRNA-Arg". It matches the Rfam family "tRNA". From Rfam's summary of the family: Transfer RNA (tRNA) molecules are approximately 80 nucleotides in length. Their secondary structure includes four short double-helical elements and three loops (D, anti-codon, and T loops). The record is from RNAcentral. Lineage: Bacteria; Bacillati; Bacillota; Bacilli; Lactobacillales; Lactobacillaceae.
GUCUCCAUGGUGCAACGGAUAGCAUAAUGGUCCUCGAAACCACAGAUCCGGGCUCGAAUCCCGGUGGAGGCA